This 422-nucleotide ribosomal RNA is filed under the name uncultured bacterium. RNAcentral's name for it is "bacterial SSU rRNA". It matches the Rfam family "Bacterial small subunit ribosomal RNA", at positions 358 to 773 of the family's 1533-position model. The record is from RNAcentral.
GGAAUAUUGGACAAUGGGGGCAACCCUGAUCCAGCAAUGCCGCGUGUGUGAAGAAGGCCUGCGGGUUGUAAAGCACUUUCAGAGGGGAAGAAAAAAUCGGAGCUAACAUCUCCGGUCUUGACGUUACCCUUAGAAGAAGCACCGGCUAACUUCGUGCCAGCAGCCGCGGUAAUACGAAGGGUGCAAGCGUUACUCGGAAUUACUGGGCGUAAAGCGUGCGUAGGUGGUUUGUUAAGUCUGAUGUGAAAGCCCUGGGCUCAACCUGGGAAUUGCAUUGGAUACUGGCAGUCUAGAGUGCGGUAGAGGGUAGCGGAAUUCCCGGUGUAGCAGUGAAAUGCGUAGAUAUCGGGAGGAACAUCCGUGGCGAAGGCGGCUACCUGGACCAGCACUGACACUGAGGCACGAAAGCGUGGGGAGCAAAC